GCCGAAGUAGUUCAGUGGUAGAAUACAACCUUGCCAAGGUUGGGGUCGCGGGUUCGAAUCCCGUCUUCCGCU
This 72-nucleotide transfer RNA is filed under the name Peribacillus butanolivorans. It matches the Rfam family "tRNA". Rfam says of the family: Transfer RNA (tRNA) molecules are approximately 80 nucleotides in length. Their secondary structure includes four short double-helical elements and three loops (D, anti-codon, and T loops). Further hydrogen bonds mediate the characteristic L-shaped molecular structure. tRNAs have two regions of fundamental functional importance: the anti-codon, which is responsible for specific mRNA codon recognition, and the 3' end, to which the tRNAs corresponding amino acid is attached (by aminoacyl-tRNA synthetases). tRNAs cope with the degeneracy of the genetic code in two manners: having more than one tRNA (with a specific anti-codon) for a particular amino acid; and 'wobble' base-pairing, i.e. permitting non-standard base-pairing at the 3rd anti-codon position. The record is from RNAcentral. Lineage: Bacteria; Bacillati; Bacillota; Bacilli; Caryophanales; Bacillaceae. RNAcentral also lists the same sequence under 1 other name.